CGCCGAAUCAGCCCGCGCCCCGGAAACAAUCUACUGGACCCUUCACCCCGCGCUCCUCUGUACAGCCACCUGGUUCCACACUACAAAGACGCAGAGGACCCCAGACCACCAGACCAAGUCUUUUGCUAGGGAUCUUCAUGGACAGAACCCAGUCAGAAGUCUGAGAGUGAGCAGUUCAGAAGCAGUUAAAAUCCGAAAUGUCCAGGAAGCAUCUUGACAGCUAAAUAAUAAAAGCCACAAUUGUGUCCUCUGGUAGAAGCACUGUUCUCCAAAACCUACAAUUCCAC
Long non-coding RNA from Heterocephalus glaber (naked mole-rat), 287 nucleotides. The record is from Ensembl. Lineage: Eukaryota; Metazoa; Chordata; Mammalia; Rodentia; Bathyergidae.